UACGGAGGGUGCAAGCGUUGUCCGGAUUUAUUGGGUUUAAAGGGUGCGUAGGCGGUUCGUUAAGUCCGGGGUGAAAGCCCACUGCUCAACAGUGGAACUGCCCUGGAAACUGGCGGACUUGAGUACAGACGAGGGCGGCGGAAUGGAUGGUGUAGCGGUGAAAUGCAUAGAUACCAUCCAGAACCCCCGAUUGCGAAGGCAGCUGCC
Molecule: ribosomal RNA, 207 nt
Filed under: uncultured bacterium
Lineage: Bacteria
Description: partial 16S ribosomal RNA
Rfam family: Bacterial small subunit ribosomal RNA
Source: RNAcentral